UCAGAAAUCCAGGAUUGCAAAUUUUAGGAUCAUAGUUCUCAAGAUUUCAGAAUUCAGAAUUUAGAGAUUACGAUUUGUGAAUCGUCGUUUUAGAAUUCAGGAUCUCUAGAAUUAUGAAUCCCAGAGUUUCAGAAUUUGGAAUUUUUGAAUUCAAUUUUUAGGAUCUAAGAUUGCAGGAAUGACGAUUUCGGGAACUACAUGUUUAAUAUACAACACUUUAGUACCCGAAAUUUCAAGUUUCAGAGAAAAUUCAGGAUUUCAGGCUUUUAGGAUUAACAUAUUCGAAUUCACUUUUUUAGGAAUUUGCAUUUCCUAUUUCUGGGUUUUAAAAUUCAAGGAUCAUAGUACUCAAGAUUUCAGAAUUCAGAAUUUCGAGAUUACGAUUUGUGAAUCGUCGUUUUAGAAUUCAGGAUCUCUAGAAUUAUGAAUCCCAGAGUUUCAGAAUUUGGAAUUUUUGAAUUCAAUUUUUAGGAUCUAGGAUUGCAGGAAUGACUAUUUCGGGAACUACAUGUUUAAUAUACAACACUUUCGUACCCGAAAUUUCAAGUUUCAGAGAGAAUUCAGGAUUUCAGGCUUUUGGGAUUAACAUAUUCGAAUUCACUUUUUUAGGAAUUUGCAUUUCCUAUUUCUGGGUUUUAAAAUUCAAGGAUCAUAGUACUCAAGAUUUCAGAAUUCAGAAUUUCGAGAUUACGAUUUGUGAAUCGUCGUUUUAGAAUUCAGGAUCUCUAGAAUUAUGAAUCCCAGAGUUUCAGAAUUUGGAAUUUUUGAAUUCAAUUUUCAGGAUCUAGGAUUGCAGGAAUGACUAUUUCGGGAACUACAUGUUUAAUAUACAACACUUUCGUACCCGAAAUUUCAAGUUUCAGAGAGAAUUCAGGAUUUCAGGCUUUUGGGAUUAACAUAUUCGAAUUCACUUUUUUAGGAAUUUGCAUUUCCUAUUUCUGGGUUUUAAAAUUCAAGGAUCAUAGUACUCAAGAUUUCAGAAUUCAGAUUUCGAGAUUAUGAUUUGUGAAUCGGCGUUUUAGAAUUCAGGAUCUCUAGAAUUAUGAAUCCCAGAAUUUCAGAAUUUGGAAUUUUUGUAUUCAAUUUUUAGGAUCUAGGAUUGCAGGAAUGACGAGUUCGGGAACUACAUGUUUAAUAUGCAACACGUGCGUACAUGAAAUUUCAAGUUUCAGAGAGAAUUCAGGAUUUCAGGCUUUUGGGAUUAACAUAUUCGAAUUCACUUUUUUAGGAAUUUGCAUUUCCUAUUUCAGGCUUUUAAAA
Long non-coding RNA from Zophobas morio, 1260 nucleotides. RefSeq lists it as uncharacterized. The record is from RefSeq and is a predicted model, not a curated record. Lineage: Eukaryota; Metazoa; Arthropoda; Insecta; Coleoptera; Tenebrionidae. The transcript is spliced from 4 exons.